This 323-nucleotide unclassified non-coding RNA is filed under the name Hevea brasiliensis (rubber tree). The record is from RNAcentral. Lineage: Eukaryota; Viridiplantae; Streptophyta; Magnoliopsida; Malpighiales; Euphorbiaceae.
GAUUUGCUUCUGGAAGGAUAAAUCUUGGGGAAAUUGAAGUUGUUAAAGUCUGCAGGUUUGAGUUGAUUUGGACCUGCAAUCUUUCACGGGACAAGAAGAAAGUUGUGUCAUUCUACAAACCCGUUGGAGUGCCUGAUGGAUUUUGUAGUCUUGGUCACCACUGCCAAUUUAACAAUAAGCCCUUUAGAGGUUUUCUCCUUGUGGCUAGGGAGGUUACUUUUUCUGAGACAGAAGGGACUAAUUUUGGCAGGCCUAUCAAUUCUCCUGCUCUUGAAAAGCCCCUUGAUUAUACAUUAAUCUGGAGUUCAUAUGAUGGAAGCGAG